UACGGAGGGGGCUAGCGUUGUUCGGAAUUACUGGGCGUAAAGGGCGCGUAGGCGGUCGUGACAAGUCACUUGUGAAAUCUCCGGGCUUAACUCGGAACGGUCAAGUGAUACUGUCGGACUAGAGUACAGAAGGGGCAACUGGAAUUCCGCGUGUAGCAGUGAAAUGCGUAGAUAUGCGGAGGAACACCGAUGGCGAAGGCAAUCCCCUGGGCCUGUACUGACGCUCAUGCACGAAAGCGUGGGGAGCAAACAGG
Molecule: ribosomal RNA, 254 nt
Filed under: uncultured bacterium
Lineage: Bacteria
Description: partial 16S ribosomal RNA
Rfam family: Bacterial small subunit ribosomal RNA
Source: RNAcentral